AUUGAACGCUGGCGGCAUGCCUUACACAUGCAAGUCGAACGGCAGCGGACCUUCGGGUGCCGGCGAGUGGCGAACGGGUGAGUAAUAUAUCGGAACGUACCUUUCAGUGGGGGAUAACGUAGCGAAAGUUACGCUAAUACCGCAUAUUCUGUGAGCAGGAAAGCAGGGGAUCGCAAGACCUUGCGCUGAUUGAGCGGCCGAUAUCAGAUUAGCUAGUUGGUGAGGUAAAGGCUCACCAAGGCGACGAUCUGUAGCGGGUCUGAGAGGAUGAUCCGCACACUGGAACUGAGACACGGUCCAGACUCCUACGGGAGGCAGCAGUGGGGAAUUUUGGACAAUGGGCGCAAGCCUGAUCCAGCCAUGCCGCGUGAGUG
RNAcentral lists this ribosomal RNA (374 nucleotides) under uncultured bacterium. RNAcentral describes it as "bacterial SSU rRNA". It matches the Rfam family "Bacterial small subunit ribosomal RNA", at positions 30 to 407 of the family's 1533-position model. The record is from RNAcentral.